AGAUUAAGUUAUUAAGGGCGCACGGUGGAUGCCUUGGCACUAGAAGCCGAUGAAGGACGUUACUAACGACGAUAUGCUUUGGGGAGCUGUAAGUAAGCUGUGAUCCAGAGAUUUCCGAAUGGGGGAACCCAGCACAAGUUAUGUUGUGUUAUCGACAUGUGAAUUCAUAGCAUGUCAGAAGGCAGACCCGGAGAACUGAAACAUCUUAGUACCCGGAGGAAGAGAAAGAAAAAUCGAUUCCCUGAGUAGCGGCGAGCGAAACGGGAAGAGCCCAAACCAAUAGGCUUGCCUAUUGGGGUUGUAGGACACUCUAUACGGAGUUACAAAGGAAAAUGUUAGACGAAUCAUCUGGAAAGAUGAAUCAAAGAAGGUAAUAAUCCUGUAGUCGAAAAUGUUUUCUCUCUUGAGUGGAUCCUGAGUACGACGGAGCACGUGAAAUUCCGUCGGAAUCUAGGAGGACCAUCUCCUAAGGCUAAAUACUCUCUAGUGACCGAUAGUGAACCAGUACCGUGAGGGAAAGGUGAAAAGUACCCCGGAAGGGGAGUGAAAGAGAACUUGAAACCGUGUGCUUACAAAUAGUCAGAGCCCGUUAAUGGGUGAUGGCGUGCCUUUUGUAGAAUGAACCGGCGAGUUACGAUCUGAUGCAAGGUUAAGCAGCAAAUGUGGAGCCGUAGCGAAAGCGAGUCUGAAUAGGGCGAGAUAGUAUUUGGUCGUAGACCCGAAACCAGGUGAUCUACCCAUGGCCAGGCUGAAGUUCAGGUAACACUGAAUGGAGGGCCGAACCGACUUACGUUGAAAAGUGAGCGGAUGAGCUGUGGGUAGCGGAGAAAUUCCAAUCGAACUUGGAGAUAGCUGGUUCUCUCCGAAAUAGCUUUAGGGCUAGCCUCAAGUGAUGAUUAUUGGAGGUAGAGCACUGUUUGGACGAGGGGCCCCUCUCGGGUUACCGAAUUCAGACAAACUCCGAAUGCCAAAUAAUUUAACUUGGGAGUCAGAACGUGGGUGAUAAGGUCCAUGUUCGAAAGGGAAAGAGCCCAGACCACCAGCUAAGGUCCCAAAAUAUAUGUUAAGUGGAAAAGGAUGUGGCGUUGCCCAGACAACUAGGAUGUUGGCUUAGAAGCAGCCAUCAUUUAAAGAGUGCGUAAUAGCUCACUAGUCGAGUGACACUGCGCCGAAAAUGUACCGGGGCUAAACAUAUUACCGAAGCUGUGGAUUGUCCUUCGGACAAUGGUAGGAGAGCGUUCUAAGGGCGGUGAAGCAUGAUCGCAAGGACAUGUGGAGCGCUUAGAAGUGAGAAUGCCGGUGUGAGUAGCGAAAGACGGGUGAGAAUCCCGUCCACCGAUUGACUAAGGUUUCCAGAGGAAGGCUCGUCCGCUCUGGGUUAGUCGGGUCCUAAGCUGAGGCCGACAGGCGUAGGCGAUGGAUAACAGGUUGAUAUUCCUGUACCACCUAUUAUCGUUUUAAGCGAUGGGGGGACGCAGUAGGAUAGGCGAAGCGUGCUGUUGGAGUGCACGUCCAAGCAGUAAGACUGAGUGUUAGGCAAAUCCGGCACUCAUAAGGUUGAGCUGUGAUGGGGAGAGGAAAUACGUUUCCUCGAGUCGUUGAUUUCACACUGCCAAGAAAAGCCUCUAGCUAGAUACUUGGUGCCCGUACCGCAAACCGACACAGGUAGUCAAGAUGAGAAUUCUAAGGUGAGCGAGCGAACUCUCGUUAAGGAACUCGGCAAAAUGACCCCGUAACUUCGGGAGAAGGGGUGCUCUUUGGGGUGUAUGCCCGGAAGAGCCGCAGUGAAUAGGCCCAAGCGACUGUUUAUCAAAAACACAGGUCUCUGCUAAACCGUAAGGUGAUGUAUAGGGGCUGACGCCUGCCCGGUGCUGGAAGGUUAAGAGGAGUGGUUAGCUUCUGCGAAGCCACGAAUCGAAGCCCCAGUAAACGGCGGCCGUAACUAUAACGGUCCUAAGGUAGCGAAAUUCCUUGUCGGGUAAGUUCCGACC
This 1991-nucleotide ribosomal RNA is filed under the name Listeria monocytogenes. RNAcentral's name for it is "partial 23S ribosomal RNA". It matches the Rfam family "Bacterial large subunit ribosomal RNA", at positions 1 to 1988 of the family's 2925-position model. The record is from RNAcentral. Lineage: Bacteria; Bacillati; Bacillota; Bacilli; Caryophanales; Listeriaceae.